RNAcentral lists this long non-coding RNA (903 nucleotides) under Homo sapiens (human). Its description in RNAcentral is "HSALNT0405542". Lineage: Eukaryota; Metazoa; Chordata; Mammalia; Primates; Hominidae. The record is from RNAcentral.
GCUAAGACCCUGAAAGCUGAACCAGUACCAUCUCCUUGGAGCACCUUCUGAGGGUCCCUCUAGCCUACAAAGUGUAGUCAAGUGGAAUUUGUGCGCUUUCCUGAUUCAGGCCCAAUCCAGUCUUCCUAUGCCAGCCACAGAGCAGUCCCAUACUCCCUUCUGCUCAAUCCUACCCUGCCUCUUCUGCCUAAGCGUACAGGUAGCAGACCAGCAAGUUAACUACAUAAUCACAUCUCUCAGUAGAACGUGACUACCAUUCCUGCAAGAACCUUAAACAAACACUUAUCACCAUCAAGAUGCCUAUUCUGGCAGAAGCCCAUUCCUCCAUCUGCAUGGAUGAUCAGAACAGAAAACAAUCCGGGAAUAUGUUGCUGUUUAGAAUUGGAGCAUCAAAAGCCAAUGCAGAAGAUACAGAAGGAGCAGCCAGGAAGAAAAUCAGGACAGUGGUGUUUCACAGAAACCUAGAGAGAAGAGAAUUUCACAGAAAAAUUAGCAGAGCAUGCCAACUACUGAUACUGAUUAGGGAAAUUUAGAAAUGUCAAAAAUCUUCUAACUCAGCCAUGAAGAGAUCACUGCUGAUUUUCUGUCAGGGAAAAACCCCAAAUAUUUUUAUAUUAAACACUUCAUGAGUCAAAGAGAAAUCACAAAUCAACUCAGAAGAUUUUAAAAACCCAAUAAAAGUGAACAUAAUACAUAAAAAAUUAUGGGAUGCAGGUCAAGCAGUGUUUAGAGAAAAUUUUGUAUCUGUAAAUGCUUGUAAUAUAAAAAACAAAGAAUCACCAAGUGCAGUGGCUCAUGCCUGUCAUCCCAACACUCUGGAGGCCAAGGAGGGAGGAUCGUUUGAGGCCAGGAGUUCGAGACUAGCCUGAGGAACAUAACAAGGCCUCACUGCAACAACAAAAC